This 167-nucleotide ribosomal RNA is filed under the name Staphylococcus pseudintermedius. RNAcentral describes it as "partial 16S ribosomal RNA". It matches the Rfam family "Bacterial small subunit ribosomal RNA", at positions 1375 to 1533 of the family's 1533-position model. Lineage: Bacteria; Bacillati; Bacillota; Bacilli; Caryophanales; Staphylococcaceae. The record is from RNAcentral.
CGGGUCUUGUACACACCGCCCGUCACACCACGAGAGUUUGUAACACCCGAAGCCGGUGGAGUAACCAUUUUGGAGCUAGCCGUCGAAGGUGGGACAAAUGAUUGGGGUGAAGUCGUAACAAGGUAGCCGUAUCGGAAGGUGCGGCUGGAUCACCUCCUUUCUAAGGA